UCUUAGCUACAACACGGGAGACCUUUAUUUUGAAGACUCGCGAUUUGUGGUCACAACAAACAUUACUGACACCUACCCAUGAGCCCACUCUUUUUCCAUUUACUAUAACAAGCAUCCUCAACCACUGAGCACCGACCAACACUGGAUGUCCAUGGACGUUGAAAACGUUUCAAGCCUCCAAGCUAGCUACCUAACGUUAACAUACCGUCGUAGCAGCAUUAGCAGCUUGUUUUGCUGGCGAUAUGGAUUCAAAAGGUCUCAAUCUCCCUCUAUCCUCCUUGUGUCUCCUGGUUCCACCAAUACGCUUGAUGUCAGCAUCCAUGUGGCACGUGGCUGAGCAGCGUAAUGUGAUGCAGUAUGGGAAGCUGGAGGAAUUUGUGACUUUGGUGACAGAGAUGGUUCCAGAGCUGUUAAGCUCCAGGCAGAGGACCCAACUCAUUCUAGGACUGAGAGCAAGGCUGGUUCUUGAGUUGUGCUGUGGUAAAGAGGACAUGGUGGACCAUCAAACCAUCCAACGCCACUUGGAUAGAAUCCAGUCAUGCACAGUAAAGCACAAAGUGGGUGUAAUUUCAUGUUCAGAGCAAAAACAAGAAAGUGGAGGCAUCAAAGUCUAACUUUGUGGAGCUGGUCCAAACCCUGCUGGAAGACCCAGCGAAGAGGGAGCACUUUCUUCAGGAGGUGUUACCAGUGCAGUACGGUACUAAGUAUGACACAGCACUGCAGAUUCUGGUGUGGGAGUUCUUCUCCAGACUGGAGGAGUUGCUGCUGGUACCCAGCUUUACACAGACAGCAUCUUGUCUCAGCCUUGCCUUCUCUGACCUGGAGGAGUGUGUUCAGUCUGUCUCUGACCCUGAGCACCUGAAGACACUGCUACAGCAUCAAAGACAUCUUGGACACCUAAACAGAGAUCAUUUGUUCUACGACUCUGACACCAUCCUGUCCGCUCUGACCCUCACUUCCUUGGUAAAAUCGAAACAAACUUCAGUGGAGGCUUGAGGUCGUGACACUAGUUCUGGACAGCAGAAACCAGGAUCAUCACUACACGCCCAUGGCCGUCGACGGGAAGGACAUUCGGAGCAGAGUACAUUACAUACCUCUGUGCACUGUUCAUGGCGAUUGCCAAACUGUGUUAUUGAUAACUGGUUGUUAUUACUAGUUGGAACAAUAUUAAGUUAAGCGACAGUGCUUUUUCCAUUAGACUAGUCAGGCUGCUGUUUCCAUUGUGGCUGUAGCUACUCCACCAACAGAGCUUUAUUUGAGCCGGAUCCUGCCGAAAUAGGAACCAGUUUUCCCGGAUCUGGUACCUCUUGUGGCAUGAAACAUAAUUUUCACUGUUUGCAAUGUAGAAAUUCUAAUAAGAGCAGUCAGAGUUAAAUACGUUGACUAUUCCCCAAAAGUGAAGUCUGUUUUUAUUUUGGGGGGGAUAUUGGUACCCUAAAGCCAAGGAUUUAAUGGUUGAAUUAAGUAAGACAUUAAUUCUAAUGACAUGGAUUCUAUUUUAGCUCUAAUUAUAGGUAACCAGUGGGCAACUAAGAUUCCAAAUUGUAGAUUUUAACAAGUUACACAAUUCAGUAUUUCAUCAUAUAUUCCCUUCAGACCUGUGUUCAAAUACUAUUUGAAAUCUCUGAAAUGUGUUUAGCGUUUGCUUUAGCUUGCCUAGAGUGCCAGAUGGGUGGGGUUUGCAGUUUUGUGACUACUCUAUUGGUUCCAUUGUGAAAUUAUUUCAAAUAGUAGACUAUUUGAAGUUGAAACCAGGUCUACUUCUAUAGCUGGUGAGGUAGUGGUUACUGCUGUUACCACAAUUCCUAGAAGCCGACAUGUUUCAAAAUGUUACCACCACAUUGUUGGGAAGUUGAUGUGAUGUAACAAUGAGUUGACCUCCUAGAAAAACCCAUCUGCUUGAGCUGCUCUUUGUUGAGUUCUUCUAUGGGGGUGUAUUUAUGAUGGAUGAGUUGACCGUGGUCUGGCCACUGCAUGCUGAAAAUGCCUAUUAUAAUUGUGUCAGUCACCAGCUGAAAUAGAGAACCACCUGUGAAGAUGCUAUGUAAUCAGUCACCACAAUAGUUUGAGUACAUUUACAAUAAUAAUUUGCUAGCUAGCCAGGGUUUUGACAGUUGUUUGACAAUAUACUGUAACAGUUGAUCGUGGUCCAGGGCCAGCUUGCCCUAUAUGCAGACCAUGCACUACGCAUUGCUGACUUUAAAAAAUAAGGAAAACACUGUUGAGGGUUUGAAUAGUAGAAUUUCUGCAUAUUUCUUCCAUGCCUUCUUCACCCUCUACGGGACAGAAGGCCACAAUCCAACAUGAUGACCAAUAUUCAGUUUAUCUUAAAUUGCUUGUUCAGCUGAGGCACUAUACUGUACAUACUGUACAUGUAGCAGACAUGAGACAGGCUCAUGGUCUCGUGAUGAGGUAGCCCUGCCUCACCCUUGGCCUUAGAGAGAGUAUCCUCUUGGUCUUACUGUCAAGGUGUUUUUCUCCUGUGGGAGACCCGGGUUCAGAUCCCGCCCGUGACAGUAGCCGUACUCAUUUUACCUUGCUGUAAAAUCAACAUGCCCUUCCUGGUGUUCUCCUGCCCCCACCAAGGAGGGAUGUCUGUCAAACCCAUUUUGCCUUGGGAAUGUCUUCAUAGAGACUCCAAAUUCGUUAAUGGGAUAAUUUUACAAAAAUGUAACACAAUCUUAAUGAUUUUUGUUUAGUUUUUUACCUUGAAAGAAGUUGUCUGUCUUACAAUUUUAGUACAAACACGACGGAGAGGCCUGUGAAGUAAAUGUGUAAACAUUUAAGAUAUCUCACACACUGCAAUCCAACUUCUAUUGCGCCAAUAUCACUUGAGAUAAGAUCUGGAUUUGACUUAAAACAUUUAGGAACGUAUUGCGUGCGUUAUUUACUUAACAGGGCUUUUCAUAGAGCUUGUACUAAAACUCUACUCGACCACAACUACAUUUCAAAAUUGACCACUCUUUCAUUUGAGGGGGCACGUAGCCUAGUGGUUAGAGCAUUGGGCCAGUAACCGAAAGAUUGCUAGAUCAAAUUCCCAAGCUGACAAGUUAUAAAUCUGUCGUUCUGCCCCAUAUCAAGGCAGUUAACCCACUGUUCCUAGGUCGUCAUUGUAAAUAAGAAUUUAUUGUUAUUUAGUUAAACAAAGGUCAUAAAAUUAUAAUGAGAUUUUUGACAAGGAUUACCUUUUUUUGGAGGUCAUUGCCUUGUCAAAUACUAUAUACAUAUCGACAGCAAUCUGGGGGGAAAAGUUUCAAAUAGCAGGACUGAUUAUAUACUGAACAAAAAUAUAAAGGCAACAUGCAAUAAUUUUAUGAUUGUAUUUUGAUUGUACUGAGUUACAGGAAAUCAGUCAAUUGAAAUAAAUUCAUUGAGUCCUAAAUCUAUGGAUUUCAUAUGACUAGGAAUACAGAUAUGCAUCUGUUUGUCAUAGUUUACCUUUAAAAUAAAUGGGCCUCACAAUUGGCCUCAGGAAAUUCAUUAGGCCCAUAUCUAUGGAUUUCACAUGACUACGAAUACAAAUAUGCAUCUGUUGGUCACAGAUAUUAAAAUUGCAAUUGA
Long non-coding RNA from Oncorhynchus tshawytscha (Chinook salmon), 3561 nucleotides. RefSeq lists it as uncharacterized. NCBI's taxonomy places the organism in Eukaryota, Metazoa, Chordata, Actinopteri, Salmoniformes, Salmonidae. The record is from RefSeq and is a predicted model, not a curated record. The transcript is spliced from 7 exons.